Molecule: ribosomal RNA, 253 nt
Filed under: uncultured bacterium
Lineage: Bacteria
Description: partial 16S ribosomal RNA
Rfam family: Bacterial small subunit ribosomal RNA
Source: RNAcentral
UACGGAGGGGGCUAGCGUUGUUCGGAAUCAUUGGGCGUAAAGGGCGCGUAGGCGGCCGAUCAAGUCGGAGGUGAAAUCCCUCGGCUCAACUGAGGAAUUGCCUUCGAUACUGUUCGGCUUGAGUCCUGGAGAGGGUAGCGGAAUUCCCGGUGUAGCGGUGAAAUGCGUAGAUAUUACAUGGAAUACCAAUUGCGAAGGCAGGUUACUACUAGUGGAUUGACGCUGAUGGACGAAAGCGUGGGGAGCGAACAGG